Molecule: ribosomal RNA, 283 nt
Filed under: uncultured bacterium
Lineage: Bacteria
Description: partial 16S ribosomal RNA
Rfam family: Bacterial small subunit ribosomal RNA
Source: RNAcentral
GUGGAUUAGAUACCCUGGUAGUCCAUACAGUAAACGAUGAUUACUCGCUGUUGGAAGGUAACUUUCAGUGGCUAAGCGAAAGCGAUAAGUAAUCCACCUGGGGAGUACGCCGGCAACGGUGAAACUCAAAGGAAUUGACGGGGGCCCGCACAAGCGGAGGAGCAUGUGGUUUAAUUCGAUGAUACGCGAGGAACCUUACCAGGGCUUGAAAGUUAGGGAAUGAUUUUGAAAGAAGUCAGUCAGCAAUGACCCGAAACUAGGUGCUGCACGGCCGUCGUCAGCU